RNAcentral lists this ribosomal RNA (253 nucleotides) under uncultured bacterium. RNAcentral's name for it is "partial 16S ribosomal RNA". It matches the Rfam family "Bacterial small subunit ribosomal RNA", at positions 524 to 776 of the family's 1533-position model. The record is from RNAcentral.
UACGUAGGGGGCAAGCGUUGUCCGGAUUUAUUGGGCGUAAAGAGCGUGUAGGCGGCCAGACAGGUCCGUUGUGAAAACUCGAGGCUCAACCUCGAGACGCCGAUGGAAACCGUCUGGCUAGAGUCCGGAAGAGGAGAGUGGAAUUCCCGGUGUAGCGGUGAAAUGCGCAGAUAUCGGGAAGAACACCCGUGGCUAAGGCGGCUCUCUAGUACGGUACUGACGCUGAGACGCGAAAGCCAGGGGAGCAAACGGG